UGGCGGAUCGUCCAAUGGUAGGACAGCGGACUUUGAAUCCGUCAAUCUAGGUUCGAAUCCUAGUCCGCCAGCCA
Molecule: transfer RNA, 74 nt
Filed under: Chloroflexota bacterium
Lineage: Bacteria; Bacillati; Chloroflexota
Description: Chloroflexi bacterium tRNA-Gln
Rfam family: tRNA
About the family: Transfer RNA (tRNA) molecules are approximately 80 nucleotides in length. Their secondary structure includes four short double-helical elements and three loops (D, anti-codon, and T loops).
Source: RNAcentral